AGGGCGUUAGUCUAAACAAGACUUCUGAUUUCGACUCGGAAAACUACGGUUAAAGUCCGUAACCCCCUU
RNAcentral lists this transfer RNA (69 nucleotides) under Ageneiosus pardalis. RNAcentral describes it as "tRNA-Arg". It matches the Rfam family "tRNA". From Rfam's summary of the family: Transfer RNA (tRNA) molecules are approximately 80 nucleotides in length. Lineage: Eukaryota; Metazoa; Chordata; Actinopteri; Siluriformes; Auchenipteridae. The record is from RNAcentral.